CAAACCUAAAAGGAAAAGAGAAUCAUUGUGAUUAGAACAAACAAACAAUCGCCGCAUCAUAGCAACAAACAAAACAACUAAAAAAGAGAUUAACCUAAAUCAAUAAAACCCUAAUUAAUUUUUACAUGAAUAUUUGUCGCAUAUCGUAAGUAGGGUUAGUAAUCGCUGCUUCAUUGCUUCCCUCUCCGCUACUGCUUUGACAUGCCUAUUCAUCGCUAAAACUGUCUUGAUAUAAAGUUUCCGAUUAUUAAAACGAUCCACAGAAGAUAAUGCUUGUGACAUCGAAGUUAGAUCGAAUGCACUUUUUUUCUUUGUCGGGACAUUAGUCUUCACAAGAAGAGCCUUGUCGCUUGCGUUGUUGAUAGCUUCUUUGAGGGAACUUAGAUCAAAAGAAGAACCUCCAUCAUCGUUGAUCUUAAUU
RNAcentral lists this long non-coding RNA (421 nucleotides) under Arabidopsis lyrata. Its description in RNAcentral is "long non-coding RNA (ALYR_LNC002642)". The record is from RNAcentral. Lineage: Eukaryota; Viridiplantae; Streptophyta; Magnoliopsida; Brassicales; Brassicaceae.